RNAcentral lists this ribosomal RNA (301 nucleotides) under uncultured bacterium. Its description in RNAcentral is "partial 16S ribosomal RNA". It matches the Rfam family "Bacterial small subunit ribosomal RNA", at positions 509 to 808 of the family's 1533-position model. The record is from RNAcentral.
CAGCCGCCGCGGGAAUACGUAGGGGGCGAGCGUUGUCCGAAGUUACUGGGCGUAAAGCGCGCGUAGGCGGCUUCUUAAGUCUGAGGUGAAAGGUUCAACGCUUAACGUGAACAGUGCCUUGGAUACUGGGGAGCUUGAGUAUGGGAGAGGGCAGUGGAAUGGCUGGUGUAGCGGUGAAAUGCGUAGAUAUCAGUCGGAACACCCAUGGCGAAGGCAGCUGCCUGGCCUAAUACUGACGCUGAGGUGCGAAAGCGUGGGGAGCGAACGGGAUUAGAUACCCGCGUAGUCCCUGUCUCUUAUU